GAUGAACGCUGGCGGCGUGCCUAAUACAUGCAAGUCGAGCGAACGCACCAGAACCUUUCUUCUCUGAUUUUAUCGCCGGUCGGGUGCGUCACACGUGGUUAACCUACCUACACGACUGGGAUAACUUCGGGAAACCGUAUCUACUACCGGAUAAUAUUUUGAACCGCAUUGUUCAAAAGUAAAAGACGCUCUUUCUUUCACUUAUAGAUUACCCCGCGCUGCAUUAGCUAGUUGGUAAGGUGACGGCUUAACAAGGCAACGAUGCAUAGCCGACCUGAGAGGGAGGACGGACAGACUGGAACUGAGACACGGUACCGACACCGAGGGGAGGAAGCAGUAGGGAAUCUUACGCAAUGGGGGAGAGCCUAACGGUGCAAAGUCGCGGAAGUGAUGAAGGACUUAGGAUGGUAAAACGAUGAAAUUAGGAGAGAAGAAAUGUGUAAGUAACUGUGAAGAUAUUGACGGUACCUAAAGAAAAAGCUACGGCUAACUACGUG
RNAcentral lists this ribosomal RNA (497 nucleotides) under uncultured bacterium. RNAcentral's name for it is "partial 16S ribosomal RNA". It matches the Rfam family "Bacterial small subunit ribosomal RNA", at positions 28 to 507 of the family's 1533-position model. The record is from RNAcentral.